GAUGAACGCUGGCGGCGUGCCUAAUACAUGCAAGUCGAACGAAACUUCUUUAUCACCGAGUGCUUGCACUCACCGAUAAAGAGUUGAGUGGCGAACGGGUGAGUAACACGUAGGCAACCUGCCCCAAAGAGGGGGAUAACCCUUUGAAACAGGUUCUAAUACCGCAUAACCAUAGUUACCGCAUGGUAACUAUGUAAAAGGUGGCUAUACUACCGCUUUUGCAUGGGCCCGCGGCGCAUUAGCUAGUUGGUAGGGUAAAGGCUUACCAAGGCAAUGAUGCGUAGCCGAAUUGAGAGGUUGAUCGGCCACAUUGGGACUGAGACACGGCCCAAACUCCUACGGGAGGCAGCAGUAGGGAAUCUUCCGCAAUGGGCGAAAGCCUGAUGGAGCAACGCCGCGUGGGUGAAGAAGGUCUUCGGAUCGUAAAACCCUGUUGUUAGAGAAGAAAGUGCGUGAGAGUAACUGUUCACGUUUCGACGGUAUCUAACCAGAAAGCCACGGCUAACUACGUG
Molecule: ribosomal RNA, 512 nt
Filed under: uncultured bacterium
Lineage: Bacteria
Description: partial 16S ribosomal RNA
Rfam family: Bacterial small subunit ribosomal RNA
Source: RNAcentral